CACACAGUGGCCUGGCUUGCCAGCUGCCCCAGCCCUGCGAGGCAGAUGAGGGGCUGGGUGAGGAAGAGGAUAGCAGCUCUGAGCGAAGCUCCUGCACCUCGUCCUCCACCCACCAGAGAGAUGGGAAGUUCUGUGACUGCUGCUACUGUGAGUUCUUCGGCCACAAUGCGGCAAAAGGAAAGGAAAUGGCAGAGAGAAAGCUAUGAUUCUGAUGACCACCCGCUGCCCCGACGAGUCGGAACUAUACCGAGAUCCGGGAGAAGCUCCGCUCGAGGCUGACCAGGCGGAAAGAGGAGCUGCCCAUGAAGGGGGGCACCCUGGGCGGGAUCCCUGGGGAGCCCGCCGUGGACCACCGAGAUGUGGAUGAGCUGCUGGAAUUCAUCAACAGCACGGAGCCCA
RNAcentral lists this small RNA (399 nucleotides) under Pan troglodytes (chimpanzee). RNAcentral describes it as "processed transcript". Lineage: Eukaryota; Metazoa; Chordata; Mammalia; Primates; Hominidae. The record is from RNAcentral.